Molecule: long non-coding RNA, 456 nt
Organism: Manacus vitellinus (golden-collared manakin)
Lineage: Eukaryota; Metazoa; Chordata; Aves; Passeriformes; Pipridae
Exons: 3
Source: RefSeq, a predicted model, not a curated record
CGCCCUUCCUGACUGCUUCACCCUGGUGUUUGAAAGCAGUGGUGGGGAGCAGCGAGGGGAAAAGGAAGACAUUAAUACACAACGACGAGCUGAAACCAAAAGCUCAGUGCUGCAUGUUCCCACCUCUCGGCAACUCCAUGGACUGCUAUUCCAGUCCCUCCAGUCCACGACCGAGGACGCCAAACUGGUAUUGCCAUACUGGCCGCCUCCCCAGCAAACUUAUAUAUUCCCAUGCUCCUGGGAACCAUUCAGGAGAAGAUGUCAGGAUGAUGACUUCUUAAGCAAGAGGAUUUGUGGAAUAUUAUGCAUAAGGAGAGAAGAAAGCUGAGGUGCCUGUCCAAGCCAAAGACACUUUGCAUCAUUUCGACUCUUCUAGAAAGAUUGUGGUGGAAAGGAAAAUUUCACAUUUCUUCCUCUCACUCACCUCCUUAAAACAGCACAUUAGGACCUUAUUAA